Non-coding RNA from Acanthosepion pharaonis, 109 nucleotides. NCBI's taxonomy places the organism in Eukaryota, Metazoa, Mollusca, Cephalopoda, Sepiida, Sepiidae. The record is from the annotation of a GenBank genome assembly.
AUACGUUCAUAUCACGUUGAAACACCGAUUCUCGUCAGAUCACCGAAGUUAAGCAACGUCGAGUCUAGUGAGUAAUUAAAUAGGCGACCGCUUAGAAUGUGCAGAUGCU